This 396-nucleotide ribosomal RNA is filed under the name uncultured bacterium. RNAcentral's name for it is "partial 16S ribosomal RNA". It matches the Rfam family "Bacterial small subunit ribosomal RNA", at positions 523 to 918 of the family's 1533-position model. The record is from RNAcentral.
AUACGUAGGGAGCGAGCGUUGUCCGGAAUUACUGGGUGUAAAGGGAGCGUAGGCGGGAUGGCAAGUCAGAUGUGAAAACUAUGGGCUCAACCCAUAGACUGCAUUUGAAACUGUUGUUCUUGAGUGAAGUAGAGGUAAGCGGAAUUCCUGGUGUAGCGGUGAAAUGCGUAGAUAUCAGGAGGAACAUCGGUGGCGAAGGCGGCUUACUGGGCUUUUACUGACGCCGAGGCUCGAAAGCGUGGGGAGCAAACAGGAUUAGAUACCCUGGUAGUCCACGCUGUAAACGAUGAUUACUAGGUGUGGGGGGACUGACCCCUUCCGUGCCGCAGUUAACACAAUAAGUAAUCCACCUGGGGAGUACGGCCGCAAGGUUGAAACUCAAAUGAAUUGGCGGGG